GUGCGAGACCGAUAGCGAACAAGUACCGUGAGGGAAAGAUGAAAAGAACUUUGAAAAGAGAGUUAAAGAGUACCUGAAACUGCUGAAAGGGAAGCGAAUCGUAUCCAGUGUCUAUAAUCUGCGGCAUAUUUCAUUGGCGGCGGUGCGCGUGCUUUUGCGUCGGAAGCGGCUUUUGUUGCUCUGUGCUUUUGCUGUGCGUGCUGUUGCUGGUGCCCUGUGUUGCGGUGGGACGUCAGAGUCAGUUUGUAUGCUGCGGGAAAUGGCUGCCGAGGAGGUAGGUCAAGAUUUCGGUCUUGGCUGUUAUAUCUUGGUGGUUUGUUGUCGUGGUUGAGACUGAGGUGCCUACAAUGUGCUUUUGAGUGUGCCGGGUUCUCAUUUGGUGGACUGUUUGGAUAGCUUGCUAUGCUUGUGGUUUUUUCAUCGGGUGAUUGAGUCUGGUGGUAACUUGUUGCUGUUCGGGACUUUGA
Molecule: ribosomal RNA, 467 nt
Filed under: uncultured Oomycota
Lineage: Eukaryota; Oomycota
Description: LSU rRNA
Rfam family: Bacterial large subunit ribosomal RNA (bases 1-83)
Source: RNAcentral